UACCAGCACCCCGAGUGGUCGGGACGUUUAUUGGGCCUAAAGCAUCCGUAGCCGGUUCUACAAGUCUUCCGUUAAAUCCAGCUGCUUAACAGGUGGGCUGCGGAAGAUACUAUGGAGCUAGGAGGCGGGAGAGGCAAGCGGUACUCGAUGGGUAGGGGUAAAAUCCGUUGAUCCAUUGAAGACCACCAGUGGCGAAGGCGGCUUGCCAGAACGCGCUCGACGGUGAGGGAUGAAAGCUGGGGGAGCAAACCGG
Molecule: ribosomal RNA, 253 nt
Filed under: uncultured bacterium
Lineage: Bacteria
Description: partial 16S ribosomal RNA
Rfam family: Archaeal small subunit ribosomal RNA
Source: RNAcentral